Molecule: ribosomal RNA, 473 nt
Filed under: Escherichia coli
Lineage: Bacteria; Pseudomonadati; Pseudomonadota; Gammaproteobacteria; Enterobacterales; Enterobacteriaceae
Description: bacterial SSU rRNA
Rfam family: Bacterial small subunit ribosomal RNA
Source: RNAcentral
AAAUUGAAGAGUUUGAUCAUGGCUCAGAUUGAACGCUGGCGGCAGGCCUAACACAUGCAAGUCGAACGGUAACAGGAAUCAGCUUGCUGAUUUGCUGACGAGUGGCGGACGGGUGAGUAAUGUCUGGGAAACUGCCUGAUGGAGGGGGAUAACUACUGGAAACGGUAGCUAAUACCGCAUAACGUCGCAAGACCAAAGAGGGGGACCUUCGGGCCUCUUGCCAUCGGAUGUGCCCAGAUGGGAUUAGCUAGUAGGUGGGGUAACGGCUCACCUAGGCGACGAUCCCUAGCUGGUCUGAGAGGAUGACCAGCCACACUGGAACUGAGACACGGUCCAGACUCCUACGGGAGGCAGCAGUGGGGAAUAUUGCACAAUGGGCGCAAGCCUGAUGCAGCCAUGCCGCGUGUAUGAAGAAGGCCUUCGGGUUGUAAAGUACUUUCAGCGGGGAGGAAGGGAGUAAAGUUAAUACCUUU